Cavia porcellus (domestic guinea pig) is the source of this 2602-nucleotide long non-coding RNA. The record is from Ensembl. Lineage: Eukaryota; Metazoa; Chordata; Mammalia; Rodentia; Caviidae.
GCUUUGCUCUGAAAUCUAGGCAGAAGCCGUCCUGGCUCAACAACUCUGCCAUCCUGUGUCUUGAUCCCGCAACUCUGCUAUCUGUGUGCACCUUCAGUUGGCUGCGCAAGCCUAGCUGAAGACCUAGAGUUCAUGGCAGUGCCCUCCAUGAGUCUAACUGGAGGCCUGGAGCGCACGACAGUAUCUCAUCUAAUCCGACUGGAUAGUCUCAGUGCUUACUGGAAUGUGAACUGCCGUCUGUCCUACUAGGGGUCCCGAGAACAGAUCUUGGAUCAACUGAAAAAUGAAAUUCUUACCAAGUAGACAGAGACCUCCAAACCAUCAAUACAUUUUCCAGCCAAUAUCCAGCCAGUUUCCUGCAAAACUCUACAUGAAUCCUCAUGCAGAAGUAGAACUCAAAACUCCCAAAUUAGAUUGGAGCAUAGAAGUGCAGAAUAUUGCCAUUGAGCUGACCAAGCCCCAGUACGUAAGUAUGAUUGACCUUUUGGAAUCAUUGGAUUAUAUGGUUAGAAAUGUACCUUAUAGGAAAUAUAAACCUAAUUUACCACUUCAUACCAAUUGUAGGCAAUGGUGGAAGUAUGCCAUUGAUUCAGUUCUUGAAGUUCAUAUAAGAAGAUGUACACAGAUGUGGUCAUGGUGUAACAUAAAGAAGCAUAGAGAGUUACUCAAGAGUUAUAAAAUCGCUUACAAGAAUAAGCUAACUCAGACUAAACUCUCGGAAGAAAUCCAGAAACAAAUUCAGGACCUGGAGAAGACUUUAGAUGUUUUUAACAUAAUUUUAGCAAGGCAACAAGCACAAGUCGAGGUGAUUCGAUCUGGGCAGAAACUAAUGAAGAAAUCCACUGACACAGGGGAGAAAUGGGGAGGCUGGUUUAGUGGGUUUGGGGGUAAGAAGGAGUCUAAGAAAGGUGAAGAAUCAUUGAUUCCUGAAACUAUUGAUGAUCUUAUGACCCCUGAGGAGAAGGACAAACUAUUCACUGCUAUUGGUUACAGCGGGAGCAUGCAUAACUUGACUUUGCCCAAGAAGUAUGUUGCCUAUAUAAUGACCUUGAAGUUGGUAAGCACUUCUAUUGUAAUCAGAGAAAACAAAAAUAUUCCUGAAAUCCUAAAAAUCCAGAUCAUUGGCCUGGGCACCCAAGUAUGCCAGCGACCAGGAGCGCAAGCCCUUAAGGUAGAAGCAAAGUUAGAACACUGGUAUAUCACAGGUCUGAGACAGCAGGAUACUGUGCCAUCCCUUGUGGCUUCCAUUGGUGACACUGCAUCAUCCUUGCUUAAAAUUGAGUUUGAAACCAAUCCAGAGAACAGCCUUGCUGACCAGACGCUGACCGUCCAGUCCCAGCCCGUGGAGGUCAUCUACGAUGCUAAAACCAUCAAUGCAGUGGUUGGUUUCUUUCAGUCAAAUAGGGGAUUGGAUCUUGAGCAAAUAACAUCAGCUACUUUGAUGAAGCUGGAAGAAAUUAAAGAGAGAACAGCUACUGGACUUACACAUAUAAUUGAGACUCGAAAAGUUCUUGAUUUAAGGAUAAAUCUGAAGCCUUCUUAUCUAAUAGUUCCACAGACAGGCUUCCACCAUGAAAAGUCAAAUCUUCUCAUUUUAGAUUUUGGUACAUUUCAGCUCAACAGUAAAAGUCAAGGUCUACAGAAGACUACCAGUUCAUCUUUGGAAGAAAUAAUGGAUAAAGCAUAUGACAAGUUUGAUGUUGAAAUAAAGAGUGUGCAACUACUCUUUGCAAGAGCAGGGGAAAACUGGAAGAAGUGUCGUUUUCAGCACCCGUCCACUAUGCAUAUACUGCAGCCCAUGGAUAUUCAUGUGGAGCUAGCCAAGGCGAUGGUAGAGAAGGACACGAGAAUGGCCAGAUUUAAAGCAUCAGGAGGACUUCCUUUGAUGCAUGUGAGGAUUUCAGACCAGAAGAUGAAAGAUGUGCUGUGUUUGAUUAACAGUAUACCUUUGCCACAGAAAUCAUCAACUCAAUCUCCAGAGAGACAGGUAUCGUCAGUUCCUGUUGCUUCAAGUGGGACAAAAGUUCUCCUUGGUACUUCAUUAUUGCUGAGUGAAAUGGAUUCAGAGUCUGACAAUGAGUAUUUUGAUGCUGAAGACGGUGCCUCCCAGGUGCCUAGAGGUGCGCCAGGCUCCGAACCCCGAAAGGCUGCGGAGGUUCCGAACGAGGCCCUCGUUAAUCUUCUGCUCAAGUUUGAAGUUAAAGAAAUUGUUCAUCUCGGGGUGCGGUGUUUACAGCUACAGAUCUGAGAAAUGUCACUGAUUUGACUUGUGCAUGCGGACCAAGCAUUGCUGGAUCAAGAAAAAAGCCCCUUAACUUGAUUAGCUCUUCUGACAAACCUGGGUCAGAUCUUUUAAAAGUAGAGUAUAUUAAGGUAAGGACCAUGGCAGUGCUGGAGAACCUGUGGAGAGAUGAGAGCUCAGACUGCACCCCAAAACCCACUUCUUUAUGGCAGAAUGCCAAUUAAGUGCAAUUAAACCUGAAUACUGAGAUUUUUGUUUAGGAAAGAACAACUUCUACAUUAGCAUCUUUUGUCUUUGAUUUGCCAGCACUAGUCUGGACUGUGCCCCUGGGAAGUGGACAGGACAGUGUGUUACUAAUCA